UACGGGGGGGGCUAGCGUUGUUCGGAAUUACUGGGCGUAAAGCGCGCGUAGGCGGACCUGCAAGUCGGGGGUGAAAGCCCGAGGCUCAACCUCGGAACUGCCUUCGAUACUGCGGGUCUCGAGUCCGGGAGAGGUGAGUGGAAUUCCUAGUGUAGAGGUGAAAUUCGUAGAUAUUAGGAAGAACACCAGUGGCGAAGGCGGCUCACUGGCCCGGUACUGACGCUGAGGCGCGAAAGCUAGGGGAGCGAACAGG
RNAcentral lists this ribosomal RNA (253 nucleotides) under uncultured bacterium. Its description in RNAcentral is "partial 16S ribosomal RNA". It matches the Rfam family "Bacterial small subunit ribosomal RNA", at positions 524 to 776 of the family's 1533-position model. The record is from RNAcentral.